UAGUCCACGCCCUAAACGAUGAAUACUCGAUGUUGGCGAUAUACGGUCAGCGUCUAAGCGAAAGCGUUAAGUAUUCCACCUGGGGAGUACGCCCGCAAGGGUGAAACUCAAAGGAAUUGACGGGGGCCCGCACAAGCGGAGGAGCAUGUGGUUUAAUUCGAUGAUACGCGAGGAACCUUACCCGGGCUUGAAAGUUAGUGAAUGAUUCAGAGACGAAUCAGUCCUUCGGGACACGAAACU
Molecule: ribosomal RNA, 240 nt
Filed under: uncultured bacterium
Lineage: Bacteria
Description: partial 16S ribosomal RNA
Rfam family: Bacterial small subunit ribosomal RNA
Source: RNAcentral